Acanthosepion pharaonis is the source of this 98-nucleotide non-coding RNA. The record is from the annotation of a GenBank genome assembly. NCBI's taxonomy places the organism in Eukaryota, Metazoa, Mollusca, Cephalopoda, Sepiida, Sepiidae.
UUGAAACACCGGUUCCCGUACGAUCCUCGAAGUUAAGCAACGUCAAACCUUGUCUGUAUCUAGAUGGGUGACCGCUUGGGAGUACUAGGUUCUGUAAG